RNAcentral lists this ribosomal RNA (330 nucleotides) under uncultured Glomeromycotina. RNAcentral's name for it is "LSU rRNA". The record is from RNAcentral. Lineage: Eukaryota; Fungi; Glomeromycota.
UUGAAAGGGAAACGAUUGAAGUUCAGGUCAUUGCCCGUUGGGAAUCCCAACUUAGGGGGGAACCUCUAGGGGCCCUUUCUUCGGUAUGGUUAGGGUUAAACGUCGAAUCUUGGAAUGCCAUAAAAAUAUAUUGGGGGAAGGUAGGUCUUUUCCGGAGGGGUUAUAGCCCUUGAUAGAUGUGAUGUUUGGGGUCGAGGAUUGCAACGGAUACCUUUGGGGCUAGCCGCCUGAUCUCUAAUGGGUGUUGGGUUACGGAUAGCAUGCUGACCGUGAUCUAAUUACUGGUUAAAAGGUUAGAGCGUGCAUAAAUUCGUUAAGGAUGUUGACGUA